RNAcentral lists this non-coding RNA (77 nucleotides) under Oscillatoria sp. RNAcentral describes it as "Glutamine-I sequence". It matches the Rfam family "Glutamine riboswitch aptamer (glnA leader)". Lineage: Bacteria; Bacillati; Cyanobacteriota; Cyanophyceae; Oscillatoriales; Oscillatoriaceae. The record is from RNAcentral. RNAcentral also lists the same sequence under 1 other name.
AUCGUUCAUCUUAAUUGCCUCUAGUUUUAUAGAGGCGAACGAGACGGAAGUAGGGACAACUCCCGAAGGAACGCGCC